Molecule: long non-coding RNA, 247 nt
Filed under: Daucus carota (carrot)
Lineage: Eukaryota; Viridiplantae; Streptophyta; Magnoliopsida; Apiales; Apiaceae
Description: long non-coding RNA (DCAR_LNC003532)
Source: RNAcentral
AGGGCAGCGCGCCCGCGCUAUCCUCGGGUCAACUAGCGCGCCCGCGCUAGUCUAGCGCGGUGGCGCCCCACUGAAACUUCCCGGGCCGAUUUUUACAGCUUUUCUGAUGGAUUUUCGCAGCGGCCGAGGCCCGGUUGACUUAGUCAAUGCAUUUUAUUCUCGUGUGUAAAAACCCUAGCCUCAUAGUAGUUAGAACAUCGAAACAAUAUCAUAGCUAGUUUUCUUUUGUAAUCAAGCACAUUAUCAG